Molecule: small nuclear RNA, 104 nt
Organism: Manis javanica (Malayan pangolin)
Lineage: Eukaryota; Metazoa; Chordata; Mammalia; Pholidota; Manidae
Source: RefSeq, a predicted model, not a curated record
CUGCUCGCAUCGGCAGCACGUGGGCUAACGUGGGAACAAUACAGAGAUCAGCGUGGCCCUUGGGCAAGCAGGACGUGCAAAUUCAUGAAGCAAUCCGUAUUUUU